RNAcentral lists this ribosomal RNA (484 nucleotides) under uncultured bacterium. RNAcentral's name for it is "partial 16S ribosomal RNA". It matches the Rfam family "Bacterial small subunit ribosomal RNA", at positions 30 to 507 of the family's 1533-position model. The record is from RNAcentral.
AUUGAACGCUAGCGGGAUGCUUUACACAUGCAAGUCGAACGGCAGCGCGGACUUCGGUCUGGCGGCGAGUGGCGAACGGGUGAGUAAUGUAUCGGAACGUGCCCAGUAGCGGGGGAUAACUACGCGAAAGCGUAGCUAAUACCGCAUACGCCCUACGGGGGAAAGCAGGGGAUCGUAAGACCUUGCACUAUUGGAGCGGCCGAUAUCGGAUUAGCUAGUUGGUGAGGUAACGGCUCACCAAGGCGACGAUCCGUAGCUGGUUUGAGAGGACGACCAGCCAACACUGGACCGAGAACCCGCCCCGACCCCCUAGGGAGGGCGGCGGGGGGAAUUUUUGAACAAUGGGGCAACCCUGAUCCAGCCAUCCCGCGUGUGCGAUGAAGGCCUUCGGGUUGUAAAGCACUUUUGGCAGGAAAGAAACGUCGCGGGCUAAUACCCCGUGGAACUGACGGUACCUGCAGAAUAAGCACCGGCUAACUACGUG